ACGCUCGACACCUACGGAGGCAGCAGUGAGGAAUAUUGGUCAAUGGGCGCUAGCCUGAACCAGCCAAGUAGCGUGAAGGAUGAAGGCUCUAUGGGUCGUAAACUUCUUUUAUAUAAGAAUAAAGUGCAGUAUGUAUACUGUUUUGUAUGUAUUAUAUGAAUAAGGAUCGGCUAACUCCGUGCCAACAGCCGCGGUAAGUCUGAGCGGGCGUGGCAAGGC
Molecule: ribosomal RNA, 219 nt
Filed under: uncultured bacterium
Lineage: Bacteria
Description: partial 16S ribosomal RNA
Rfam family: Bacterial small subunit ribosomal RNA
Source: RNAcentral